Molecule: ribosomal RNA, 406 nt
Filed under: uncultured bacterium
Lineage: Bacteria
Description: partial 16S ribosomal RNA
Rfam family: Bacterial small subunit ribosomal RNA
Source: RNAcentral
AUUGAACGCUGGCGGCAGGCCUAACACAUGCAAGUCGAGCGAGCGGCGGACGGGUGAGUAAUGUAUGGGAAUCUGCCCGAUGGAGGGGGAUAACUACUGGAAACGGUCGCUAAUACCGCAUACCAUCGGAUGUACCCAUAUGGGAUUAGCUAGUAGGUGGGGUAAAGGCUCACCUAGGCGACGAUCCCUAGCUGGUUUGAGAGGAUGACCAGCCACACUGGAACUGAGACACGGUCCAGACUCCUACGGGAGGCAGCAGUGGGGAAUAUUGCACAAUGGGCGCAAGCCUGAUGCAGCCAUGCCGCGUGUAUGAAGAAGGCCUUAGGGUUGUAAAGUACUUUCAGCGGGGAGGCGUUACCCGCAGAAGAAGCACCGGCUAACUCCGUGCCAGCAGCCGCGGUAAUAC